Molecule: non-coding RNA, 31 nt
Filed under: Mus musculus (house mouse)
Lineage: Eukaryota; Metazoa; Chordata; Mammalia; Rodentia; Muridae
Source: RNAcentral
UGCAACUUUUGAAAAGUGCUUGCCAUAAAGG